CCUACGGGAGGCAGCAGUGAGGAAUAUUGGUCAAUGGGCGGGAGCCUGAACCAGCCAAGCCGCGUGAGGGAAGAAGGUACAGCGUAUCGUAAACCUCUUUUGUCAGGGAACAAAGGCGGGGACUAGUCCCCGGAUGAGGGUACCUGAAGAAAAAGCAUCGGCUAACUCCGUGCCAGCAGCCGCGGUAAUACGGAGGAUGCGAGCGUUAUCCGGAUUUAUUGGGUUUAAAGGGUGCGCAGGCGGCCUGUUAAGUCAGCGGGAAAAGCCCGGGGCUCAACCCCGGCGAGCCGUUGAAACUGGCGGGCUGGAGUGGGAGAGAAGUACGCGGAAUGCGCGGUGUAGCGGUGAAAUGCUUAGAUAUCGCGCAGAACCCCGAUUGCGAAGGCAGCGUACCGGCUCCACACUGACGCUGAGGCACGAAAGCGUGGGUAUCGAACAGGAUUAGAUACCCCAGUAGUC
RNAcentral lists this ribosomal RNA (459 nucleotides) under uncultured bacterium. Its description in RNAcentral is "partial 16S ribosomal RNA". It matches the Rfam family "Bacterial small subunit ribosomal RNA", at positions 338 to 795 of the family's 1533-position model. The record is from RNAcentral.